Molecule: non-coding RNA, 223 nt
Organism: Pelobates cultripes (western spadefoot toad)
Lineage: Eukaryota; Metazoa; Chordata; Amphibia; Anura; Pelobatidae
Source: the annotation of a GenBank genome assembly
AUUCAGAAAACCAAAAGGCAACAUUGUGCUACUACACAUAAUUGUAAUAUACCACAAGAACCACACAAUCCUGCGCAAUUACUCUACAAGUACUAAGUGCACAGAAAAAUGGGCAAUCACCAUGGAAAUUAACAGUAAGAGCAGGAACAUUCUCUUAGUUGCAAUGUCGACUGAUCUCUUUUCACAGUUUUAUUGUACUUUUAUGUUUGAAACACAAUGUUAU